CCUACGGGUGGCAGCAGUGAGGAAUAUUGGUCAAUGGGCGAGAGCCUGAACCAGCCAAGUCGCGUGAGGGAGUACUGCCCUAUGGGUUGUAAACCUCUUUUGUCGGGGAGCAAAAGCCGGACGUGUCCGGCUGUGAGAGUACCCGAAGAAAAAGCAUCGGCUAACUCCGUGCCAGCAGCCGCGGUAAUACGGAGGAUGCGGGGGUUAUCCGGAUUUAUUGGGUUUAAAGGGUGCGCAGGCGGAUUUUUAAGUCAGCGGUAAAAUCGUGGGGCUCAACCCCAUCCAGCCGUUGAAACUGGGGAUCUAGAGUGGGCGGGAGGUAUGCGGAAUGCGUGGUGUAGCGGUGAAAUGCAUAGAUAUCACGCAGAACCCCGAUUGCGAAGGCAGCAUACCGGUGCACAACUGACGCUCAGGCACGAAAGCGUGGGUAUCGAACAGGAUUAGAUACCCGGGUAGUC
Molecule: ribosomal RNA, 458 nt
Filed under: uncultured bacterium
Lineage: Bacteria
Description: partial 16S ribosomal RNA
Rfam family: Bacterial small subunit ribosomal RNA
Source: RNAcentral